GAACCUUAUCAAAUGUAUAAACAACAAACAAAAUAAAAAAAAUGUCUAAAGUGAAAUGUUCACACUGUUUCUUUGCAGGCGUCUCAACAGGCGUAUAGCCUUCAAACUGUACUCACACAAUAUGGUGCAUUUGAAAGGCCGUAACGCACAGGUCUGGAUCAGCCAACGGAAUGAGGGCCCAUGCAGCAGGCGAUGCAGGCACUUGGCCUACAGGCGCCCUGUCAGCUUGUGCUGAGCAGACAGCCCCUCAGGCACAGGCACCCGCAUCCACAUAAGGAGGGUGGUCAUGAGCAGCUUCGUCAAAAACAAGUGCCAUCAGGUUGAAGACAUAGUCUGUGAAGUGUGAAAAGGUCUUUAUGUUCUUUUGGCACUUGGAGUAUUUUCUUCGGAUAAAUGGUUUAUUUUUUUGGUAAAACUUUUUGGGGUAAAACCUUUGUAAAAGUCCUCCCUUUAGAUGUUGUCAUUUGUGGAUGGUCAGCAUUCUCAUUGAAGUGAAUUGCUGCCAGGUAUAAUCUGGACCACAAGACAAACAACCAAUUCAAUAAUAUAUUGACCGUUAGACCUGAUGUCUCCUGUCCACUGUUCAUGAAUCACACCUUUACAGGCCAAAACUCUCUCAGACAGAAUAUUUUGGUGAGUCCUCUUUUAUAUGUUACCCAG
Molecule: long non-coding RNA, 660 nt
Organism: Clupea harengus (Atlantic herring)
Lineage: Eukaryota; Metazoa; Chordata; Actinopteri; Clupeiformes; Clupeidae
Source: Ensembl